AGGAUCGUCGGGUUAGCAAUAAUUCGGCGGUUCGAGUGGCGCACGGGUGAGUAACACGUGGGUAACCCACCCUUGAGACCGGGAUACCCUCUCGAAAGGGAGGCUAAUACUGGAUACGUUCCCUGGGACGCAAGAUCUGGGGAGGAAAGGCGGCGAAAGCUGCCGCUCUUGGAGGGGCUCGCGGCCUAUCAGCUAGUUGGUGAGGUAACGGCUCACCAAGGCUAUGACGGGUAGCUGGUCUGAUAGGACGACCAGCCACACGGGAACUGAGACACGGUCCCGACUCCUACGGGAGGCAGCAGUGGGGAAUUUUCCGCAAUGGGCGAAAGCCUGACGGAGUGACGCCGCGUGGGGGACGAAGGCCUUCGGGUCGUAAACCCCUGUCAGAGGGAAAGAAGGGUGUCGGCGUGAAUAGCGCCGGCAUUUGACGGUACCUUCAGAGGAAGCCCCGGCCAACUCUGUGCCAGCAGCCGCGGUAAGACAGAGGGGGCAAGCGUUGCUCGGAAUCACUGGGCGUAAAGGGCGCGUAGGCGGGAUGGCAAGUCGGUCGUGAAAUCCUUCGGCUCAACCGAAGAACGUCGGCCGAUACUGCCGUUCUUGAGGGAUGCAGAGGAGAUUGGAAUUCCCGGUGUAGCGGUGAAAUGUGUAGAGAUCGGGAGGAACACCGGUGGCGAAGGCGGGUCUCUGGGCAUCUCCUGACGCUGAGGCGCGAAAGCGUGGGGAGCAAACGGGAUUAGAUACCCCGGUAGUCCACGCUGUAAACGAUGACGACUAGGUGUGGGGGGGGGUUAGUCCUUUCCC
RNAcentral lists this ribosomal RNA (801 nucleotides) under uncultured Actinomycetes bacterium. RNAcentral's name for it is "bacterial SSU rRNA". It matches the Rfam family "Bacterial small subunit ribosomal RNA", at positions 64 to 842 of the family's 1533-position model. The record is from RNAcentral. Lineage: Bacteria; Bacillati; Actinomycetota; Actinomycetes.